Molecule: ribosomal RNA, 924 nt
Filed under: Henicocoris monteithi
Lineage: Eukaryota; Metazoa; Arthropoda; Insecta; Hemiptera; Enicocephalidae
Description: bacterial SSU rRNA
Rfam family: Eukaryotic small subunit ribosomal RNA
Source: RNAcentral
ACAAAAAAUAACGAUACGGGACUCAUCCGAGGCCCCGUAAUCGGAAUGAGAACACUCUAAAUCCUUUAACUAGGAUCUAUUGGAGGGCAAGUCUGGUGCCAGCAGCCGCGGUAAUUCCAGCUCCAAUAGCGUAUAUUAAAGUUGUUGCGGUUAAAAAGCUCGUAGUUGGUUCUGCGUGCCACGCUGUCGGUUCACCGCCUGCCGGUGCAACUGGCAUGCCGUGGCAUGUCCUGUCGGUGGCGGACAGGCCUCGCGAGUGCCCUUCUGCGCGGUGUAGUCCACCGCGUAGAUUGACGCGCCGCGUCGUCCUUGUUCGCCGGCUCAAUCCUACCGCGGUGCUCUUUACCGAGUGUCGAGGUAGGCCGACAAUGUUUACUUUGAACAAAUUAGAGUGCUUAAAGCAGGCUAUUAAUUUUAGCUUGAAUAGUUGUGCAUGGAAUAAUGGAACAGGACCUUGGUUCUAUUUUGUUGGUUUUAAGAAACCAAGGUAAUGAUCAAUAAGGACAGGCGGGGGCAUACGUAUUGCGGCGUUAGAGGUGAAAUUCUUGGAUCGUCGCAAGACGCACUAGAGCGAAAGCAUUUGCCAAGUAUGUCUUAAUUGAUCAAGWWCGAAAGUUAGAGGUUMGAAGGSGWUCAGAURCCGCCCUAGUUCUAACCAUAAACGAUGUCAGCCAGCGAUCCGCAGAUGUUCCUCCGAUGACUCGGCGGGGAGCUUCCCCCGGGAAACCAAAGCUUUUGGGUUCCGGGGGAAGUAUGGUUGCAAAGCUGAAACUUAAAGGAAUUGACGGAAGGGCACCACCAGGAGUGGAGCCUGCGGCUUAAUUUGACUCAACACGGGAAACCUCACCAGGCCCGGACAUUAGAAGGAUUGACAGACCGAUAGCCCUUUCUCGAUUCAGUGGGUAGUGGUGCAUGGCCGUUCUU